Molecule: small nuclear RNA, 104 nt
Filed under: Moschus moschiferus (Siberian musk deer)
Lineage: Eukaryota; Metazoa; Chordata; Mammalia; Artiodactyla; Moschidae
Source: RNAcentral
GUGCUCGCUUUGGCAGCACAUGUACUAAAAUUGGAACGAUACAGAGAUUAGCAUAACCCCUGCUCAAGGAUGACACGCAAAUUCGUGAAGAGUUCCGUAUUUAA